RNAcentral lists this ribosomal RNA (273 nucleotides) under uncultured Staphylococcus sp. Its description in RNAcentral is "partial 16S ribosomal RNA". It matches the Rfam family "Bacterial small subunit ribosomal RNA", at positions 524 to 796 of the family's 1533-position model. Lineage: Bacteria; Bacillati; Bacillota; Bacilli; Caryophanales; Staphylococcaceae. The record is from RNAcentral.
UACGUAGGGUGCGAGCGUUAAUCGGAAUUAUUGGGCGUAAAGCGCGCGUAGGCGGUUUUUUAAGUCUGAUGUGAAAGCCCACGGCUCAACCGUGGAGGGUCAUUGGAAACUGGAAAACUUGAGUGCAGAAGAGGAAAGUGGAAUUCCAUGUGUAGCGGUGAAAUGCGCAGAGAUAUGGAGGAACACCAGUGGCGAAGGCGACUUUCUGGUCUGUAACUGACGCUGAUGUGCGAAAGCGUGGGUAGCAAACAGGAUUAGAUACCCCAGUAGUCC